AUGAAGUUCAAACUCAAAAAAAUAAAACGAAAGUUUAAAGCAUAUACUUCAAAACUGCAAAAUACAUUUCAAACCUCUAAGGAUAUACAUGAAAAUUAAACGCAAGUCGAAACUUUUAUUUAUAAUACGAAACUCCCAAAUGAUAAGUCAAAGCCGCGGCUCAUAAAAAUAAAUCGAAAAGUCAAAAAUAUAAAUCGAAAGGAAACGGAAGUAAGCAACUUAACUAGAGGAAGUCAGGAAACGGAAGUUAACCACAAACAUUGCUAAGCUCGUCUUUUAACAAUAACAUUCGCUAUGAUUCAACCGAAUAUUUUUCUCAAUGCUUAAAAUCCUCUAGAGCAACAACUUUUGUCAGAUAUGCGCACCCUUCAAGUGAUUGUUCGUCGUCAAAGGGAAACAUGCGAAAGAUGCGAAUUUUGGUGUGGGAAGACAAAGACUGGACGUCUGACAACAGGCCAUCUAAACUUUAAUUCUCCAAGUUGGACUUUCCUGAGCAGAAAUUACAAGAAAUUUUGAGUAUCUGAGAGUGCAAUACGACGACGUCGACGUUAAUUUUACUUUGUCUCCGCUAUAUACGAACAGGGAAUCACUCAAUCACAUUCUACGAUAAGGGACAAUGAUUUUGAUCUACUUGUUCGUGGUAUCUCACAAGUAUCACCCAGGAUCAUCAGGCUAUAGAUUAGUACAAGAAUAUUUAUCUCGUAAACAUCCAGACGGCGAGCAAGAUAUUCGGUUGAAUCAUAAUAUAAUAUAAUAUAAUAAUGUAAUUGUUACUGUAAAAGACGAGGUCAGCAAUGUUUAUAAAGAGAGAAAUAAUUCGUCAGUUUCGAAAUCUUUAACUUUUUAAUAUCGACAUACGUAAAUAUCUCAGCGCGUGUUCACCCCCCUUUAAAACAAAGAAUACCAUUCGCUGGCUUCUUGGUUAACUUCCGUUUCCUGACUUCCUCUGUAUUAAGUUGCUUACUUCCGUUUCCU
Non-coding RNA from Paramuricea clavata, 975 nucleotides. Lineage: Eukaryota; Metazoa; Cnidaria; Anthozoa; Malacalcyonacea; Plexauridae. The record is from the annotation of a GenBank genome assembly.